RNAcentral lists this ribosomal RNA (396 nucleotides) under uncultured bacterium. RNAcentral describes it as "bacterial SSU rRNA". It matches the Rfam family "Bacterial small subunit ribosomal RNA", at positions 64 to 507 of the family's 1533-position model. The record is from RNAcentral.
GAACGCCCCGCAAGGGGAGUGGCGCACGGGUGAGUAACGCGUGGAUAUCUGCCUUUUGGUUCGGAAUAACCCCAGGAAACUGGGGCUAAUACCGAAUGGUUCCUACGGGUAUAAAGAUUUAUCGCCAAAAGAUGAGUCCGCGUCCGAUUAGCUAGUUGGUGAGGUAACGGCUCACCAAGGCAACGAUCGGUAGCUGGUCUGAGAGGACGAUCAGCCACACUGGGACUGAGACACGGCCCAGACUCCUACGGGAGGCAGCAGUGGGGAAUAUUGGACAAUGGGGGCAACCCUGAUCCAGCCAUGCCGCGUGAGUGAUGAAGGCCCUAGGGUUGUAAAGCUCUUUUGUGCGGGAAGAUAAUGACGGUACCGCAAGAAUAAGCCCCGGCUAACUUCGUG